UCCGAGUUGACCCCGGCAGUCUCCUACGAGUCCCCGCCAUUACGCGCUGGCAACAUAGGACAAGGGUUGCGCUCGUUGCGGGACUUAACCCAACAUCUCACGACACGAGCUGACGACAACCAUGCACCACCUGUGUACCGCCCCGAAGGACACCGUAUCUCUACGGCUUUUCGGUACAUGUCAAGCCCAGGUAAGGUGGGGAUGACGUUCCAAGGUUGGUU
RNAcentral lists this unclassified non-coding RNA (221 nucleotides) under uncultured Acidimicrobiia bacterium. Its description in RNAcentral is "contains 16S-23S intergenic spacer region". The record is from RNAcentral. Lineage: Bacteria; Bacillati; Actinomycetota; Acidimicrobiia.